RNAcentral lists this ribosomal RNA (300 nucleotides) under uncultured bacterium. RNAcentral describes it as "bacterial SSU rRNA". It matches the Rfam family "Bacterial small subunit ribosomal RNA", at positions 337 to 652 of the family's 1533-position model. The record is from RNAcentral.
UCCUACGGGACGCAGCAGUGGGGAAUAUUGGGCAAUGGGCGCAAGCCUGACCCAGCAAUGCCGCGUGAAGGAAGAAGGCCUUCGGGUUGUAAACUUCUUUUAUCAGGGACGAAGGAUGUGACGGUACCUGAUGAAUAAGCUCUGGCUAACUCCGUGCCAGCAGCCGCGGUAAUACGGAGGAUGCGAGCGUUAUCCGGAUUUAUUGGGUUUAAAGGGUGCGCAGGCGGCCUGUUAAGUCAGCGGUAAAAGCCCGGGGCUCAACCCCGGCGAGCCGUUGAAACUGGCGGGCUGGAGUUGGAG